CUACGGGCGGCUCCAGUUAGGAAUAAUCUACAAUGCGCGCAAGCGUGAUAGUUUGAGCCAGAGUGUUUUUCAUUAUGAAAAACUUUUGUUGAAUGUAAAAAGUUAACGAAUAAGGACUGGGUAAGACGAGUGCCAGCCGCCGCGGUAAUACUCGCGGUCCAAGUCGCAGCCAUUUUUAUUGGGUCUAAAACAUCCGUAGCUUGUUUAGUAAGUCCCUUGUGAAAUUUUGCAUCUUAAAUGCAGAGCGUGCAAGGGGUACUACUAGGCUAGAGACUGGGAGACGUAAGAAGUACGUUCAAAGUAGCGGUUAAAUGUGUUAAUCUUGGACGGACUCACAAAAGCGAAGGCAUCUUACGAGAACAGUUCUGACAGUCAGGGAUGAAGGCUAGGGGCGCAAAACGGAUUAGAUACCCCCGUAGUC
RNAcentral lists this ribosomal RNA (421 nucleotides) under uncultured archaeon. Its description in RNAcentral is "partial 16S ribosomal RNA". It matches the Rfam family "Archaeal small subunit ribosomal RNA", at positions 323 to 746 of the family's 1478-position model. The record is from RNAcentral.